UAGUAUAAUCUCUUACUUUGAAACUGCGAACGGCUCAUUAUAUCAGUUAUAAUUUAUUGGAUAGUCCCUUGCUACUUGGAUAACCGUAGUAAUUCUAGAGCUAAUACAUGCGUCAAUACCCCUUGUGGGUAGCAAUUAUUAGAUUGAAACCAACCCCUUUGGGGUGAUGUGGUGAUUCAUAAUAACAGAGUGGAUCGCAUGGCUCACGCCGGCGACGGAUCUUUCAAGUUUCUGCCCUAUCAGCUUUGGAUGGUACGGUAUUGGCCUACCAUGGCUUUAACGGGUAACGGGAAAUUAGGGUUUGAUUCCGGAGAGGGGGCCUGAGAGAUGGCCACCACAUCCAAGGAAGGCAGCAGGCGCGUAAAUUACCCAAUCCUAAUACAGGGAGGUAGUGACAAUAAAUAACAAUGCCGGGCCUUUGUAGGUCUGGCAAUUGGAAUGAGAACAAUAACAAACUCUUUAUCGAGGAUCAAUUGGAGGGCAAGUCUGGUGCCAGCAGCCGCGGUAAUUCCAGCUCCAAUAGCGUAUAUUAAAGUUGUUGCAGUUAAAAAGCUCGUAGUUGGAUUUGUGGCUGUCACGGACGACCUAGCACUCAGUGCCAGCGUUCUGCCGUGUCGCCAUCUUUGGGUGGAACCUGUGUGGCAUUAGGUUGUCGUGCAGGGGAUGCCCAUCUUUUACUGUGAAAAAAUUAGAGUGUUCAAAGCAGGCUUAUGCCGUUGAAUAUAUUAGCAUGGAAUAAUGAGAUAGGACCUUGGUACUAUUUUGUUGGUUUGCGCACCAAGGUAAUGAUUAAUAGGGACAGUUGGGGGUAUUCGUAUUCCAUUGUCAGAGGUGAAAUUCUUGGAUUUUUGGAAGACGAACUACUGCGAAAGCAUUUACCAAGGAUGUUUUCAUUAAUCAAGAACGAAAGUUAGGGGAUCGAAGAUGAUUAGAUACCAUCGUAGUCUUAACCAUAAACUAUGCCGACAAGGGAUUGGUGGGGUUUCGUUUUGUCUCCAUCAGCACCUUAUGAGAAAUCACAAGUCUUGGGUCCGGG
Molecule: ribosomal RNA, 1036 nt
Filed under: Achnanthes sp.
Lineage: Eukaryota; Bacillariophyta; Bacillariophyceae; Mastogloiales; Achnanthaceae
Description: SSU rRNA
Rfam family: Eukaryotic small subunit ribosomal RNA
Source: RNAcentral